Molecule: ribosomal RNA, 507 nt
Filed under: uncultured bacterium
Lineage: Bacteria
Description: bacterial SSU rRNA
Rfam family: Bacterial small subunit ribosomal RNA
Source: RNAcentral
UGGCUCAGGACGAACGCUGGCGGCGUGCUUAACACAUGCAAGUCGAACGGGGAUUAUCGAGCGGAAGGCUUCGGCCGGAAGGUUGGUAAUUCGAGUGGCGGACGGGUGAGUAACGCGUGAGCAACCUGUCCCAGACAGGGGGAUAACACUUGGAAACAGGUGCUAAUACCGCAUAAGACCACGGGAUCGCAUGGUUCUGGGGGUAAAAGGUGCAAACCGGUUUGGGGUGGGCUCGCGUCCGAUUAGCCAGUUGGCGGGGUAACGGCCCACCAAAGCGACGAUCGGUAGCCGACCUGAGAGGGUGAUCGGCCACAUUGGAACUGAGAGACGGUCCAAACUCCUACGGGAGGCAGCAGUGGGGAAUAUUGGGCAAUGGGCGAAAGCCUGAACCCCAGCAACGCCGCGUGAGUGAAGAAGGCCUUCGGGUUGUAAAGCUCUGUUAUAGUUGACGAAGGAAGUGACGGUAGGCUAUAAGGAAGCCCCGGCUAACUACGUGCCAGCAGCAGC